This 937-nucleotide long non-coding RNA is filed under the name Stegodyphus dumicola. RNAcentral's name for it is "uncharacterized LOC118189343, transcript variant X1". Lineage: Eukaryota; Metazoa; Arthropoda; Arachnida; Araneae; Eresidae. The record is from RNAcentral.
GGCACAUGUUUCAAGUAACUGAACUAUUUAUGACAUAAUUAUGUUGCAAAAUACAUUAAUAUUUAAUUGGAUAUUUUAAAUUUUAUGUUCUUUAGCUUUUUUGCCUUUUUGGAAUAAUAAAUUAAAAACACUAUAAGACUGUUGCGAGAUUAAGGAAUUCUUUUUCUCCAAAUACUUACAAUACUUGCCAAUUGCCAUUGGUACAGAUGGCACUUCUUAUCAUCGUAGAUGGCUUUUACAUGUUACUAUUUCUGAGUGAGAAAAAUAGAUAUCUUUUCGAAAGCCCUUAUCUAGUAGUCCUACCACCAUCUGUACACCAUGGAGAAAACGUGCCAAAUUCAUUAUCUCACCAAGGCCAUUAUGAAUGACAAGUACCAUAUUUUCUGCGUCAUAGAUAUUACUAGUUAUGUUUAAUGAAUUAAGCAUCAAUGAAAUGUAGUUUUUUUAUGUUAAAAUAAUGUAAUUUAUUAUCUGAACUACUUUUUACUAUCCUUUUUUAUGUUUUGCCAUAAUUUCCUACUAAUUACCAAAGUAACUUAUUUACCCCUUAAUACUGCAGUUUGUUAUUUGAAGGGAAUUUCUGUUCACUUUUGUGCUGCUAAAGACUUUUCAGAGUUGCAUGAAAAUUUGAUAUGCCCAAAAUCCUCUAAACUUCUUAUUUUGGAAUAAAAUUACAACCCUUACAUUAUCUAAGUAUUGAAGCAAUAGUUCCUUCAAGUAUAAAUAUUAUUUCAAGAGUUGCAAAAAGUUAAAAAUGUUAAGAAAUGCUGGUUAUAGCAUCAAGAAAAAAUAACCCAGCACAAAAUUAUAAAAAACUGAGACAAUAUUUAGAAAUGCCUUUUACUAAGCAUUCCGAAAACAUAACUGCAACCCAUAAAAAUUUAAAUUUACCAAUGCAUUCUUUCAGCAGUAAAAUCAAUAAAAUUUUGGAAGAUUA